GUGAGGGAACGCUGAAAAGAACUCUUGACAGAGAGUUAAAAGAUCUUGAAACCUGAUAACUAUCGUGAGAUGCGCAGCAAUGUGCAUCGUCCGUUUUGAAUAACGUGCCAGGGAGUUUGUCUACGUGGCGAGGAUAAUCUAUCUGAGAAUCCGAAGGGAAACCAAGACCUCGCAGUUUACGAGGAGGGAGGUGUUAAAGCGCCUCAAGUCACGUGGACCAGACCCGAAGCCGGGCGAUCUAAUCCUGGGUAAGGUGAAGCCCCCGUAAAAAGGGGUGGAGUCCUGAAGAGGUGCUACGAGCAAGUGUUCUUCUAACCUGGGAUUAGGGGUGAAAAGCCAAUCGAGCUCGGUGAUAGCUGGUUUCAGUCGAAGUUGGCCGUAGUCAAGCCUUGGUUGAGACGGCAAGGAGGGUAGAGACACGGAUUGAGGAUUUAGGGCUUUAACCGGCUCGGUCUUCUGUCCAACUCCGAAUCUUCUUGCGUUGUAGACGCCAAGAGACGGGGUGCCGUCGUAAAGGUGGCAUCCGAGAGGGUAUCAACCCGGACUACAGUUAAGGUCCCUAAAUGUUGGUUAAGUGUUAAAGGGUGAAGAUUGUUUAAGGCCUCAGACAGCGAGGAGGUUGGCUUAGAAGCAGCCAUCCUUUAAAAAGUGCGUAACAGCUUACUUGUCAAGGCUUUGAGCGUCUAAAAUGGACGGGGCUAAACCAAUUACCGAUACUGUAGACCACCGAAAGGUGUGUAGUAGGCUGACGUUCUGCAAGAGCAGAAACAUCCCUUCGAGGGGGUGUGGAUCUAGCAGAAAUGAGAAUCCUGGUGAGAGUAGGAACAUAACACUGUGAGAAUCAGUGGCGCCGUAAGGGCAAGGGUUCCUUGACAAUGCAAAUCAGUCAAGGGUUAGUUGAUCCUAAGUACGCUCCUAGUUGGAGCAAUACGAAAGGGAAACCGGUUAAUAUUCCGGUACACAAAAGAUAUUCGUGGUGACACAAGCUCUAUUUCUGACGCUUUGGGCUACACCUCCAUCUUAUCAAGGAUGUUAAUAGAGGCAGGUCAGGAGAGUACCGUAAUGGUGAGAUCCUGAGCAACUUUUAGAACAGUACUCCUCUGGAGUAUGAGGUAGAUGCCUGGAGCCCGUGAAAAGGGAAUAGAGAAAGAUUCUUUUGUAUCAUACCCAGAACCAGCACAGGUGCCCCUAGGUUAGAAGCCUAAGGCGCGCAGGGAAAAUCUAGUUAAGGGAAUUCGGCAAAUUAGCCCCGUACCUUCGGUAUAAGGGGUCCCUGCUUUCGUAUCUGUAGAGGUGCGAUUGCAGGGCGCAGUGACAAGGGAGGUCCGACUGUUUACCAAAAACUUAACCGAGUGCUAACCAGGAAUGGCUUGUAUACUCGGUGACGUCUGCCCAGUGCCAGUACCUAAAACUCCUUUUCAAGGGAGCCAAGGGCUGGUAAACGGCGGGGGUAACUAUAACUCUCUUAAGGUAACGAAAUGCCUUGCCGUUUGAUUGACGGCCUGCAUGAAUGGCGUAACGAGAUCUCCACUGUCCCUAACUAGAACCCUCCGAACACUCUUUACUGGUGCAAAGGCCAGUGACUUCCAGUGGGAAGCGAAGACCCCGUGAAACUUUACUACAGCCUGUUGUAGUGGCGUGAGUUAAACUAUAUAGCGUAAGUGGGAGCCUUCGAUACAAGCUCGUCAGGGCUUGUUGAGGCGAAAGUGUAACACCACUUAGUUUGACUUACGUCACUCACUCCUUGUGAGGACAGCAGCAGGUGGGUAGUUUGGCUGGGGUGGCACCCUGCUGAAAAGAUAUCAGCAGGGCCCAAUGGUAGACUCAAACGGGUCAGAAAUCCGUUGUAGAGUGCAAGGGCAAAAGUCUGCCUAACUGGAACCUUUACAUGACGGGUUUCAGUAGAGAAAUCUGGGCCUAGCGAUCCUCUGUGCCUCCUUGAUGGGGGCCAGAUGUGACCGAAAAGUUACUCCGGGGAUAACAGAGUUGUCGCGCCCGAGAGCUCAUUUUUGAUGUAUAUCAAUUAUGCAUCUUCGAGUUGAUCGACGGCGCGGCUUGCUACAUCGAUGUCGGCUCUUCCUAUCCUGGCGGUGCAGAACUUUUCGAAGAACUGAGAAAAACUCAGAAAUCUUCGAUUUCUGUAGGCUGCCAAGGGUGGGGGUGUUCACCCAUCAAAAGGGAUCGUGAGCUGGGUUCAGAACGCUGUGAGGCAGUUUGUUUGAUAUCUACUGGAAGUGUUCAUUGUCUGAGAGGAAGGACUUUUUAGUACGAGAGGAACGAAAGCUCGGGGCCUCUGGUCUAUCGGUUGUCUGACAAGGCAAGCCGAGCAGCUACGCCCCAAGGGAUAAGUGCUGAAAGCAUCUAAGCACGAAGCCCACCUCGAAAAGAGACAGAUGGUUCCCAUAGAAGAUGGGGUUGAUAGAAUCGGGAUGUACGCACCAAGGCAACGAGGUGUUCAGUCCGCGAUUACUAAUCGCCAGAAAUUCGGUU
This 2490-nucleotide ribosomal RNA is filed under the name Candidatus Woesearchaeota archaeon. RNAcentral describes it as "bacterial LSU rRNA". It matches the Rfam family "Archaeal large subunit ribosomal RNA", at positions 495 to 2987 of the family's 2987-position model. Lineage: Archaea; Nanobdellati; Candidatus Woesearchaeota. The record is from RNAcentral.